GAAUUUUAAAAAAAAAGAGUUAAAUAAUUACUUAUAACUUACACAUAAAAGCUUUAUUCUAACUUGAAGAUUUACAGGACAAUUAUUUUAUAUAUAAACAAAUAGGACGAAAUUAGUAGUAUUUAGUAUUAUACAACUUUUAUAGGUAUAGAAAUUUAAUGGAGGACUGAAUAAAUGUGUGCCAGCACUCGCGGUUAUACACCUAGUAUAAUGGAUCUUAUUGGUAAAAUUUGAAGUAAUUGAAAUAUUAUAGGUUAGAUUUAGUAAAAGGUAAAAUUUGACUAGAUUCUGGAAAUGAUUUAGUUAAAUAAAAUAAGAUUAAGGUAAAGACCUGGAUUAGAUACCCUGUUAUGUUAAUAAAUAAAGUUAUUACCCGAGCAGUAAAUUAGUCGAAACUUAAAGAAUUUGGCGGUACAUUUACGGAUUAGAGGAAUAUGUAUAAUAAUUGAUAAUCCUCGUUAGACUUUACUUUUUUAAAAACUUAUAUAUCGUUGUUUAAAGAGUAAAUUGUUUAGAAGUUUACUCUGGCUUUAUUGAAGUUGAUAACAAAUCAAGGUGUAGUGAAUGAAAAAGUUUUUAUGUAUUACAAUUACUUAUAGUAAUGGGGGUUAGAUAUGAAAUAUUUAUUGAAAUUGGAUUUAAGUGUAAAGCUCUGUAAUUUAAGAGUUUGAUUAAAGUUCUAAGGUAUGCACACAUCGCCCGUCACUCUCGUUCAAUACGAGAUAAGUCGUAACAAAGUAGGUUUGCUGGAAAGGGUACCUUGUUGG
Molecule: non-coding RNA, 767 nt
Filed under: Pseudachorutes palmiensis
Lineage: Eukaryota; Metazoa; Arthropoda; Collembola; Poduromorpha; Neanuridae
Source: RNAcentral